UAAAUGAGACUUUGGUUUAGUUUGUGAUUCAUCUGUUUCUAUUUCUGAAGCCUGACAUCAUUUGAUUGUUUUCUGUUUUAUUAUAAAUACUGUUUGGAGUUCUGGGUGAGCAGUGUCUUCUUAUCAUCCCCACAUGGGGCGAGUGGAGCCCAGCCUCUGGGUGCUGCCCCCCUCCAGAGAGGAGCUGGCCCAGGGGAAGGCCACCCUCGUGUGCCUGGCCAACAAGGGCUUCCCGUCAGACUGGAGCGUGUCCUGGAAGGUGUCCGGUGGCGGUGCGGGCGGGGAGCAGAGCCGGAGCCCCGCGGUGCCGCAAAAGGACGGCCACUACAGCUGGAGCAGCAGCCUGACGCUCCCCGCACAGCAGUGGAGGGAGGGGGGCGUGGCUGUGAGCUGUGAGGCCAGCCAGGGCUCCCAGAGUCCAGUGUCCCACACACUGAGCACACUGCAGUGUUCCCACCACUGACACAGUCACUGGGAUCAGCCUGCAGAGCGCCCUCUGCUGUCAGCUCACGCCUCUACAGCUACAGCUCCACUUCACUUACUGCAGCACAGCACACAGGCCUCUGUCCCAACUGGAGCUUCUGCUCCAAAUAAAGAGCUGUGCAUCAAAAGCA
Molecule: non-coding RNA, 614 nt
Organism: Boleophthalmus pectinirostris (great blue-spotted mudskipper)
Lineage: Eukaryota; Metazoa; Chordata; Actinopteri; Gobiiformes; Gobiidae
Source: the annotation of a RefSeq genome assembly